UGAACAUGGUUAGUGAGUGCUUCAAUGUC
This 29-nucleotide non-coding RNA is filed under the name Bombyx mori (domestic silkworm). Lineage: Eukaryota; Metazoa; Arthropoda; Insecta; Lepidoptera; Bombycidae. The record is from RNAcentral.